GCUUCUUUGAACAGUGUAGCUUCUCCGGGUGAGGUCUCCAUUUUGCCUAAGGGGACACGGAGGCUUGUGAGGGGCCGGCCUCAGGAAGGAGGAGUAGAGAGAACUUGGGCUCAUUUAAAUCAAGUUAAAUGCCUUGGGAAAGGUAAAGUAGUCUCUCCUUAGAGCGAGGGUCUCAACACAUUCUUGAAAAGUCUUUGUUGACUGGCCGGCAGGAGCAGUGCGGAACUCGUAAGUAAGUGCGCCUUUCUUCCUCCCUGAGCCUAGAAAGGAUAACAGAGGCUUGAUCUGUGGACUAGCUUCACGUAAGAGGGGUUAGGGAGAGCCUGGGAUCAGUUAGGUCCAGGUGAGGGGCUUUUGGUGGUUCUGAGAAAUUCCCAGCCCCCAGAGACGAUCUGAGAAUGUUCUAGAAAAACCUCACUUGCCAGACCGCAUAUCACAGUGCGGAAUUCUCCGGAGAGCACCCUCUUCCUAUUCAGUAGGAACUGAGAAUCAGAGCCUUUUUCUAAAGACCGCCGCUACAAGUAGGAGGAGCGAAGAUCCUGGGGUCAGUAGGAACUGAAAGUCAGAGCCUUUUUCUAAGGACUGUGCUUCAGGUGGCAGGAACAGAAGGCCUGGGGUCAGCCUUGCACCCACUGUGCAGUGGAGAAUUCUCAGGAUUGGCCCUUUGUCUCCCUGGUCUCAGGGAGGAGGGCCUCGCUGUGAGGAUCUUCAGCAGGUCACAGGAGCAGACACGUCCUGUCAGCAAAGGGAGCAGCUCAGGAUCUGCAGGGAAUCGAGGAGAGGAACUUGGGGGAGGACUGAAGGUGUUUUUAUUGGUUGUAGCUGUGUCCCAGUCAAGAGGUUUCCCUGCUCACACUGGUACAGAAGGAAGGCAGCCAGAACCCACAUCAGUGUUGGAUACAGUGCUGGAAAAGGAGCUCAGGAGGGGAAGGUCUUGGUCUGAGGCAGCAGCCACAGAUCACACGGGACACCAGGCCCAGGAGUCAAGGUAAGGGAUGUGAACGGAAAUG
This 1010-nucleotide long non-coding RNA is filed under the name Fukomys damarensis (Damara mole-rat). Its description in RNAcentral is "lncRNA (ENSFDAG00000021712.1)". The record is from RNAcentral. Lineage: Eukaryota; Metazoa; Chordata; Mammalia; Rodentia; Bathyergidae.